UACGUAGGGAGCAAGCGUUAUCCGGAUUCAUUGGGCGUAAAGCGCGCGUAGGUGGCUUGUUAAGCGAGAUGUGAAAACCGGGGGCUCAACCCGCGGCCUGCAUCUCGAACUGGCAGGCUUGAGUCUGGUAGAGGAAAGUGGAAUUCCCAGUGUAGCGGUGAAAUGCGCAGAUAUUGGGAGGAACACCAGUGGCGAAGGCGGCUUUCUGGGCCACGACUGACACUGGGGCGCGAAAGCUAGGGGAGCAAACAGG
This 253-nucleotide ribosomal RNA is filed under the name uncultured bacterium. RNAcentral's name for it is "partial 16S ribosomal RNA". It matches the Rfam family "Bacterial small subunit ribosomal RNA", at positions 524 to 776 of the family's 1533-position model. The record is from RNAcentral.